RNAcentral lists this ribosomal RNA (4025 nucleotides) under Chilomastix sp. IC-2014. Its description in RNAcentral is "partial small subunit ribosomal RNA". It matches the Rfam family "Eukaryotic small subunit ribosomal RNA". The record is from RNAcentral. Lineage: Eukaryota; Fornicata; Retortamonadidae.
UAGUCAUAUGCUCAGCUCAAAGACUAAGCCAUGCAUGUCUAAGUAUAAGGGCAUUGUCCCGAAACUGCGAACGGCUCAUUACAACGGUCGUAAUUCACAUGGCCCUAUCUUAUCCUAGUCGGAUAACACUGGGAAUCUAGUGCUAAUACGUGCAUCAAAUGGUGGUUGGCCUUUAUUGUGCUGAUUAUCAGGCGCCUAUCGGUAUCUUCUUUACGGGGGAUGCUUAGUACGAAAUUGACCAGCGUGGUGAGUGAUGGAUUAAUAGUCUAUUGCUUAUCAUUCUUAUGGUGAAACAAGGUAGGACGUAGACCGCUGAAAGGCGGUAGGCCAUACAAACGACCGCCCCAUCAUACUUUCAACCGUAGUAUAGGGGACUACGGUGGUGUUGACGGGUAACGGAGAAUUUGGGUUCGACUCCGGAGAAUGAACAUGAGAUAUGUUUCAUACUUCUAAGGAAGGCAGCAGGCGCGCAAACUACCCAAUCGACAACGUCGGAGGUGGCGACGAGCAGUACUGGAAGCUUGAUUUUUAAAUUCGGGCUUUCAGAAUGAACGAUGCACAGAUACUACGCUGAAUGCAAGAAGAGGGCAAGUCUGGUGCCAGCAGCCGCGGCAAUUCCAGCUCUUCGAGCAUAUAUAUAAAGUUGUUGCGUUUAAAACGCCCGUAGUUGAGAUUCUAAUUAUGUUAGAAUAUUGGUAUGUAUAUGUAAAUAUAUAUAUUAAUAUUUUAAUUAUAAUUAUUGUUUCAAUCAUUGGGAGAUUUGACGUACAGUUAUGUUGGUAUAAUAUGCAUAUAUAUAUAUUGCUGAAUAGUAUAUAUGAUGUGUAUUUAAACUGGGAGUGAUGCACCCAGUGAUAUGCAUAAGGAGAGAGUAUAUACUUAUGUAUAUUUAUCAUUAUGAUAAUAUGAAAGACUUAUUAGUCUUCUCUUGUAAAACACGGCUUGAGAAGAAGUAUUAGAAUAAGUAAUGAAGAUGUUAAAGGAGGAAUAUACUGGUGUUAUAUAAAGGGUUGUUUAUUAAACAUUCUAUAUAUGAAUGGUUUAAUAAUAGAAAGAGUAUGAGUGUGUAAGGUCAGACACACAGGUGAGUAAUAUGAUAUAGGAGAAGAUGGAGAAAGAUGAGUAUAUAAUAUAGCUGGAAUAAAAAGAUGAUAUAAAUGGAGUAGUUAAGUAAAAUGGAGUAGAUUAUUCAUUCAUUGGUAGUGUGUUAUCUCUGCUAUUGAAUGAUGAGAUGGAUUGGUGUUUGAUCAUGGAAUGAAGGUGGUGGAGAAUAUGCUCUAUAUGGUUAUCAUUUGAAUGCAGUGUUGAGAGACGAUAAUUCUUUUGAUGAGAGCAUAUGAUACUCCAUUUGAGAGACAUGCAAACAUUCAAUAUAUUCUGGACAUAAUAAGGAGUAGUUAGGUUUGAUAUAUCACGAACAUAUGAUAUUGUUAUAUAUAAGAGCGUAUGAAAUGUAUAUAUACAAAUAUGGAAGUGAGAGAGAAAUGGAAGUAGAAAUAAGUAUGAGGAGGAGGAGAAGUGUUAGAGUGGGCUGGAUGGGAAGCGUUUAUAUGCAAAUUAGUGUGCAUGGGCGUGUGAUCAUUCUUUCACUUUAAUAUUUCUUUUUCUUUUUAUAUUUAUUUUUAUUCUCUUGAUUGAUCUUGCUUUUAUAUUUGUAUAUAUGCAUUUUGUGCAUUCUUAUAUAUAACAACAUUGUAUGUCCGCGAUAUAUCAAACAUAACCAUCUCAUAUUGUGUUCCGAAUAUGUUGAGUAUGCGUAUGGCUUGAUGAUGUAGUAUUAUAUGUGAUUAGAUAAAGUGUUAUGAUUUUUUAAUGUUGUGUGAGGAUGAGUAUUGUAUAGAGUGUAUUUGAUCUAUCUUUGUUUUAUGAUCAUUCAUUUGUUCAUUGAGUCAUUUGGUGGUAUUCCAAAGGAGGUGGUAUAUUAUCAGUGUUAUGAAUAGUAUGAUUUCAUUUUACUUGAUUAUUUUGUUUAUGUCAUUUUGAUAUUUCAGUUAUAUUAUAGAUUUAUUUAUAUUCAUUCAUUCUAUGUUAUAUAUGCAUCUGUGUUAUGGUCUUAUAUAUUUAUAUUUGAUUUAUUGUUUGAUCAUUUAUGUAUGGUGUGUUCGAUUUAUAAUCUGGCAUUGGUAUAAGAAUUCUUUAAUAUUUUUGUGAAAUGUUUUGAUAUUUAAUCUUGAGUUGUGUGUAAAGAGUGGAGAUGAAGUAUGUUCUUAAAUAUUAUUAUGAUGGUGAGUAUAUAUAAAUAUAUAUUCUUUUUGAAUGUAUAUUACUGGGGUCAAAUGUAUUGUUUCAUAGUUUGAUACAUUGAUUAUAUAUUCUUUUGUAAUAUUUAUAUAUGUAUUAUUAUAUUGAUGUAAUUAUGUUGUUAAAUUUUUUGGUGGUUGAAAUAUUAUUAUAAUUGGAGUAUUAAUAUAUAUAUGAAUAUAUACAUAUCACUGACAUGAUUGAAUUAGUUACCAUAAAGAAAUUGGAGUGUCUCAAGCAGGUCUUGCCUUAAAAGGCGUUGGCCCCUGUACAUUGCAGUAUGGAAUAACAGAUUAGACCUAUGUCUGUCUGCUGGUCAAGUCUCUAUAUUAGGGAUCAAUAGUAUUUAUCUGGUACGCUCUGUUAGUGUUCUUAUGUUGAGGUUGAUUGAUCACUUGUGUAUUAUGUUGAGUUGUUUCGGCAAUUUAAUGUAAGAUAUGAGCAGAUGGUUAAUUUUAAUAUGAGGUACAACAUUAGCAGAGUAUGUCGGUAUAUCUAUUGAUAACUAUGUAGAGAACAGAUGUGGCGUGAUGGUAAAUAGGGGCGGUAUCGGGGGCAUAAGUAUUGGGCCGGGAGAGGUAAAAUUCUAUGAUCGGCCCACGACUAACUGAGGCGAAAGCGCUUGCCAAGGACGCUUUCAUUGAUCAAGGACGAUAGCUGGGGGAGAGAAGGAGAUCAGACACCUCUGUUUUCCAAGCUGUAAACGAUGCCGACUAGGUAUGGGGAGUAGUUCUUAAUUGAUGUUCUCCGUGCCCCACGAGAAAUCUGUAAGUAUUCAGGUUACGGGGGGAGUAUGGUCGCAAGGCUGAAACUUAAAGGAAUUGACGGAAGGGCACCACAAUUGGCGUGGAGCCUGCGGCUUAAUUGGAUUCAACGCCGUUAAACUUACCGGGCCCUGACUCGCUCGGGAUUGACAGGACUACGUUCUUUCGUGAUUGCGAGAGUGGUGGUGCAUGGCCGUUCUUAGUUCGUGGUGUGAACUGUCUGCUUAAUUGCGAUAACGGACGAGACCUCCGCCUAGUGACUGUUAUAAGUUAAUAGGGUAUUCGUAUUCUAUUGAUUUAUAAUGGUAUUAUAGGAGUAAGGUGAGAGUGUGCCAAUGGAUGGAGUAUAUAUAUGCUCUUUCAAAAAAGUGGUGAAAUAAAAUUAUAAACAAGAAUGUGAAAGAGAGAAAGUAUAUAUCCACACAUGAGUCUGUAGGUAUCGUGAGUACGUUAAUAUGUAUGCAAUUUCGUGUGUAUAUAUAUAUGAUGUAUUGAUGUUACCUGGGUUUGUGUAUGGAUGGGUAUAUGCAAAUACCAUUUUCAUAUUUUUAUUUGUUAUUUUAUUUUAUUCAUUUUUGUGAUAGGUAUAUAUGUAUUCUAUUCAUUGGUACAUUCUCAUAUACCAAACUUUCUCCUUCACAGGGACUAUUGCUUAUAAAGCGCCGGAAGCGCGAGGCAAUAACAGGUCAGUGAUGCCCUUAGAUGCCUUCUAUCGGGCUGCACGCGUGCUACAAUGGCGGGAGCAGUAUGUGGAUGCCAAACCAGAAAUGGUACGGCAACCCUGGUAGGCCCCGUCGUGGUUGGGAUCGUCCCUUGCAAUUGUUGGUCGUGAACUAGGAAUGCCUCGUAAGCGUGUGUUAGUAAUCGCACGCUGAAUGCGUCCCUGCCCUUUGUACACACCGCCCGUCGCUCCUACCGAUUGGAUGUUGCGGCAAGUUGUCCGGAGGACACACUUCUGUGUGGACCGAAGUUCCGCGAGCCCUAGCAUCUAGAGGAAGGAGAAGUCGUAACAAGGUUUCU